Non-coding RNA from Xyrichtys novacula (pearly razorfish), 1382 nucleotides. Lineage: Eukaryota; Metazoa; Chordata; Actinopteri; Labriformes; Labridae. The record is from the annotation of a GenBank genome assembly.
GGGUUGGCACUGUUUGAUAGUAGGUGGCUUGACUGAAUGUUAUAAAAACUAUGUCAUACAGGAAGUACGCUUAUUCACCAGCACUCUUAAAUAUCUUAACAUCAAGUCUCCAUGUGCUCCUUCAAGGAUCCUCUUUCCAGGUAGAGAGAUGAAGAGUCUGCAGAUCAUUGGAGCGGUGUCUCUGCUGCUGCUGCUCAUGGGGGCUCACAUCGACGGGUACAAGCCAGUUAUCAUCGUUCACGGGAUUCGUCAGGCACCAGAAGACCUAAAAGCAUUGACUCAGCACAUUGAACAGGUAGGACAGCUCAAAAGAGCUUUUGUGUGUACCUGAUUUUAUUAGAACUUGUUCUUCACUGGAGAGAAGACAUUUUUGUGUCACUCUGAAAAACACUGUUUUUGUCUCCAGUAAAAGCUCCUCCUUGAGCUCUUGGUACUUCUCCAGUUUCCCGUGUUCCUUCUUUCUGAUGUUGGUAUCGCUUGGGAUUGGAUCGCUUGUAUUCUCACUUUCUGUUUGGGUUUUUCUUUUUUUUUUUCAGGCACAUCCAGGCACUGAGGUCCAUGUCAUCAGUUUGUUCAACAACGAUGAGAGUUUUGAGCCGAUGUGGAAGCAGGUCCGUGGCUUCAGGGAGAAAAUCAAGCUAAUCAUGCAGAAAUCUCCUGAUGGGGUUCAUCUUCUGUGCUUCUCACAAGGUCCUCCUUCCCACUCAUAACACACUCAGCUGAACACUUUUGAGCUCCUGUGAGGAGAUGAAACAAUCCGAAGGAUCAUGCUUCUAAUACUCUAUAUUUGUUAAGACUGACUACCCUUUGACCAUUUUGUCCCCUUUUUUCUAUCAGGUGGUCUAAUUUGUCGAGGGCUUCUUUACAAAACUGCACGCCACAACGUGGACACCUUCAUUUCACUGUCAUCUCCUCAAGCUGGGCAGUACGGAGGUCAGAGGGCGUCAUUUUAUACUUCAGCAUGUCUACAUAACACUUACCCUUCAGGUAACAGUGUCACUUUGGGACUCUAGUUGUAAAGGUUCUUUUAAAUUGACAGACAUUAAUGAUCUGAAAGCAACAAUUCAUUAAAAAAAAAAGUUGUGAAAAUGAAUAAACAAUUUAAUGGUUCGCAAUUCAUUUAAACCCAAAGACUGAUUAAUAUAUUCAUUUCAAGAAUAAAAAAGUUAUUGCUUGAUAAAAAACUUAAAAUAUGAAUACCUGAAAUAUUAAAAAAAGGGGGGGACAUCUCCCAUCUAAGAUUAUGUUAACUUUCAACAGGUUAGUAACAGGACAAAUGCAUCUCAAAGCAGCAGAGUUUUUAAUUUCAACAUUAUCACAUAGUCUUUGUACUGUUUUCAACAAAUUUAGACUUUAAGUGAUUUACAAAACCCCAAAAUUCU